CUUUUGUGCUUUCUUGCACUUUAAAAGUGCUUCUGUGUAAAACUCUGCAAAGAAGAAUUGAGGAUUUAAUUCUUCAGAAGAAAUUUCAGUGAACUGUUGCUGUAUUAGGAACAAGUUCCAAGGACCUUGUGAAGUGCUAUGAUCAGCUGAAUUCACAUAUUAAUCUCCCCAGAAGUGCGAAAAGAAGAGGGAGGACAGUUAAAUGGUGUGCCCUCCUCAAGAUGGACUGUGUUUGUUCCUGUCAGGCAGCUGGAGGGAGAGGAAGGAUUCCUCUUAGCAUUCCCAUUGGUAAAAAUUGGAUCUCGCUCUGAACAUAAGGAUCUGGAUCGCAUCCAUUAGCUGGGCUAAGAGCAGUGCCACGUCGAAGACCAUGUAACAGCCAGGGAAUUGCAGAUGCCAGGCUCAGGAUUGAUGAAUGCCUGUCACUGUGUAGGAACAAGAUUGCAGAACUUUUGAGACCUGUUCACUGGUGGCAAUAGCUGGCUUCACCAUCACGGGAACCAGCAGAAGGCCCCUUGGCCCUGGUGGGACCUCCCUUCUACCCGAGCAUGGGAUGCACCGGGCGCCUCUUGCAGGUGGGACUUGGUCUGACCCCUCAAAGGACAAUAAGCAAGAAUCCU
This is a long non-coding RNA of Nothoprocta perdicaria, 620 nucleotides long. RefSeq lists it as uncharacterized. The transcript is spliced from 4 exons. NCBI's taxonomy places the organism in Eukaryota, Metazoa, Chordata, Aves, Tinamiformes, Tinamidae. The record is from RefSeq and is a predicted model, not a curated record.